UACGGGGGGGGUAAGCGUUGUUCGGAAUUACUGGGCGUAAAGGGCUCGUAGGCGGCCAACUAAGUCAUACGUGAAAUCCCUCAACUUAACUGGGGAACUGCGUGUGAUACUGGAUGGCUUGGAUUUGGGAGAGGGAUGCGGAAUUCCAGGUGUAGCGGUGAAAUGCGUAGAUAUCUGGAGGAACACCGGUGGCGAAGGCGGCAUCCUGGACCAAUAUUGACGCUGAGGAGCGAAAGCCAGGGGAGCAAACGGG
RNAcentral lists this ribosomal RNA (253 nucleotides) under uncultured bacterium. RNAcentral's name for it is "partial 16S ribosomal RNA". It matches the Rfam family "Bacterial small subunit ribosomal RNA", at positions 524 to 776 of the family's 1533-position model. The record is from RNAcentral.